This 489-nucleotide ribosomal RNA is filed under the name uncultured bacterium. RNAcentral's name for it is "partial 16S ribosomal RNA". It matches the Rfam family "Bacterial small subunit ribosomal RNA", at positions 30 to 507 of the family's 1533-position model. The record is from RNAcentral.
AUUGAACGCUGGCGGCAGGCCUAACACAUGCAAGUCGAAUGGUAACAGGAAACAGCUUGCUGUUUCGCUGACGAGUGGCGGACGGGUGAGUAAUGUCUGGGAAACUGCCUGAUGGAGGGGGAUAACUACUGGAAACGGUAGCUAAUACCGCAUAACGUCGCAAGACCAAAGAGGGGGACCUUCGGGCCUCUUGCCAUCAGAUGUGCCCAGAUGGGAUUAGCUAGUAGGUGGGGUAACGGCUCACCUAGGCGACGAUCCCUAGCUGGUCUGAGAGGAUGACCAGCCACACUGGAACUGAGACAGGUCCAGACUCCUACGGGAGGCAGCAGUGGGGAAUAUUGCACAAUGGGCGCAAGCCUGAUGCAGCCAUGCCGCGUGUAUGAAGAAGGCCUUCGGGUUGUAAAGUACUUUCAGCGGGGAGGAAGGGAGUAAAGUUAAUACCUUUGCUCAUUGACGUUACCCGCAGAAGAAGCACCGGCUAACUCCGUG